This 21-nucleotide non-coding RNA is filed under the name Arabidopsis thaliana (thale cress). The record is from RNAcentral. Lineage: Eukaryota; Viridiplantae; Streptophyta; Magnoliopsida; Brassicales; Brassicaceae.
UGCGAAGUUUCAUUGAUGUCA